This 1119-nucleotide long non-coding RNA is filed under the name Homo sapiens (human). RNAcentral describes it as "HSALNT0370432". The record is from RNAcentral. Lineage: Eukaryota; Metazoa; Chordata; Mammalia; Primates; Hominidae.
AGAUCAACUUUCCGUCUGUGCCAACGUUCGCCGCGAUUACCGUUCUGCUGUGUACCUGUUUUAAGAAGAAACAACAAGGAAGUGAAACCAAAGACGGGCAGCCCGGCGCCAGGCCCGAAACCAGGCCUGGGCCUGCCUGGCCUAAACCCAGUUUCAUGUGUGUGAAGAGACCACCAAACGUGUGUGAAGAGACCACCAAACAGGCUUUGUGUGAGCAACAUGGCUGUUUAUUUCACCUGGGUGCAGGCGGGCUGAGUCCGAAAAGAGAGUAAGCAAAGGGUGGUGGAUUAUCAUUAGUUCUUACAGGUUUUGGGAUAGGCGGUGAAGUUAAGAGCAAUGUUUUGCGGGCAGGGGUGGAUCUCACGAAGUACAUUCUCAAGGGUAGGGAGAAUUACAAAGAACCUUCUUAAGGUUGGGGGAGAUUACAAAGUACCUUAAGGGUGGGGGAGAUUACAAAGUACAUUGAUCAGUUAGGGUGGGGCAGAAACAAAUCACAAUGGUGGAAUGUCAUCAGUUAAGGCUAUUUUUACUUCUUUUGUGGAUCUUCAGUUACUUCAGGCCAUCUGGAUGUAUACGUGCAAGUCACAGGGGAUGCGAUGGCUUGGCUUGGGCUCAGAGGCCUCACACCCAGUAGCUAAAAAUCAACUCAUAACUUAGAAACCGAUGUUAUUCAUAGAUUCCAGACAUUGUAUAGAAGAACGUUGUGAAACUCCCUGCCCUGUUCUGUUUCUCUCUUACCACUGGUGCAUGCAGCCCCUGUCACGUACCACCUACUUGCUCAAAUCAAUCACGACCCUUUCAUGUGAAAUCUUUAGUGCUGUGAGGAGCCCUUAAAAGGGACAGAAAUUGUGCAUUCGGGGAGCUCGGAUUUUAAGGCAGUAGCUUGCCGAUGCUGCCAGCUGAAUAAAGCCCUUCCUUCUACAACUCGGUGUCUGAGAGGUUUUGUCUGCGGCUCGUCCUGCUACAAGACUAGAAGAGUAGCAUAUUAUAUUCAGUAACUGUUUGCUGAAUACAUGAGGGAAUUGAGCUAAGUGUUUGGCCCAACACUGCACACACAAAGUGGCAGAGCUAGAAUUUGACCCAAGCAUAGUUUUGAAUCUGGAGGCUUUACCACCUCAC